Non-coding RNA from Schizosaccharomyces pombe (fission yeast), 398 nucleotides. The record is from the annotation of a GenBank genome assembly. Lineage: Eukaryota; Fungi; Ascomycota; Schizosaccharomycetes; Schizosaccharomycetales; Schizosaccharomycetaceae.
AGAAUAAAUAUGCUGUUAUAUUUUCUAAUGUAAUAAUCAUUCUGGUAUUUCUAUUGUUGUCCUUGGAAGAUUGUUGUUUCGGCAUUUUCGAGUAUUUGAAGACCAAAGAUGCUUCGCUCGUGCAACUCAAAAAUGUGACUACUACCAAUAGUAACGAAACGUAAAGCCUUCAUAGUAAAUUUGCUUGUUUUCAUUAAUAAAAAUGAAUUUUAUAUUCAUAGAAUCUUAUCUUACUAACAAGCGCGAAGAAUCAAACCCUCCACCUAGUAGGAGAUUUAUGACUGGCCUGAGCAAUUGGCUUGAGUUUUGUUUGAAUUCCUAAAACUCGGCUAAAAUUAAAUCAAUCAGUCGCAUAAAAUGAAGCUUUACAUGGGGUCCUUAGCCCUAUCCUUUCAAUA